GGAGGGUGUAAGCGUUAUUCGGAAUUAUUGGGCGUAAAGAGCGCGUAGGCGGUUUUUUAAGUCAGAUGUGAAAGCCCGAGGCUUAACCUCGGAAGUGCAUUUGAAACUAAGAGACUUGAGUAUGGGAGAGGGAAGUGGAAUUCCUGGUGUAGAGGUGAAAUUCGUAGAUAUCAGGAGGAACACCGGUGGCGAAGGCGACUUCCUGGACCAAUACUGACGCUGAGGCGCGAAGGCGUGGGGAGCAAACAGGAUUAGAUACCCUGGUAGUCCACGCAGUAAACGGUGAACACUAGGUGUAGCGGGUAUUGACCCCCCUGCUGUGCCGAAGUUAACGCAUUAAGUGUUCCGCCUGGGGAGUACGACCGCAAGGUUA
This 373-nucleotide ribosomal RNA is filed under the name uncultured organism. RNAcentral describes it as "partial 16S ribosomal RNA". It matches the Rfam family "Bacterial small subunit ribosomal RNA", at positions 527 to 896 of the family's 1533-position model. The record is from RNAcentral.